UAGGGAAUCUUCCACAAUGGACGCAAGUCUGAUGGAGCAACGCCGCGUGAGUGAAGAAGGCUUUCGGGUCGUAAAACUCUGUUGUUGGAGAAGAAUGGUCGGCAGAGUAACUGUUGUCGGCGUGACGGUAUCCAACCAGAAAGCCACGGGCUAACUACGUGCCAGCAGCCGCGGUAAUACGUAGGUGGCAAGCGUUAUCCGGAUUAUUGGGCGUAAAGCGAGCGCAGGCGGUUUUUUAAGUCUGAUGUGAAAGCCCUCGGCUUAACCGAGGAAGCGCAUCGGAAACUGG
RNAcentral lists this ribosomal RNA (289 nucleotides) under uncultured bacterium. RNAcentral's name for it is "partial 16S ribosomal RNA". It matches the Rfam family "Bacterial small subunit ribosomal RNA", at positions 355 to 636 of the family's 1533-position model. The record is from RNAcentral.